CACAAUCUUAAAGAAAAAAAAGAAAAAGAAAAAAGAGGAGGUGACAUAGAUCUUGACCACACAUUGAGAGAGCGGGCCCACGUGGAUAGAUCUACGAUGGUGAGGUCAGCUGAUAAGACUCGACCACGUCAGCCCACAAGAGGGACCACUCAUCUCCUGCACUGCCAUUUUGAUUCUCUGUGACUGCAAUAAAUAAUUUUGUAAAAUCUUAAUUUAUGAUAAUUUAUACUCCGUUAAAAUAUCAAUUUCAAAUUGAA
RNAcentral lists this long non-coding RNA (257 nucleotides) under Salvia miltiorrhiza (redroot sage). Its description in RNAcentral is "long non-coding RNA (SMIL_LNC013313)". Lineage: Eukaryota; Viridiplantae; Streptophyta; Magnoliopsida; Lamiales; Lamiaceae. The record is from RNAcentral.